GAUGAACGCUGGCGGCGUGCCUAAUACCUGCAAGUCGAGCGAAGCGGGGACGGGUGAGUAACACGUGGAUAACCUCCUAUAAGACUGGGAUAACUUCGGGAAACCGGAGCUAAACCGGAUCCUUAUAGAUGGUUCCCAUCUGCAUUAGCAAGUUGGUAAGGUAACGGCUUACCAAGGCAACGAUGCAUAGCCGACCUGCGAGGGUGAUCGGCCACACUGGAAGUGAGACACGGUCCAGACGCCUACGGGAGGCAGCAGUGGGGAAUCUUCCGCAAUGGGCGAAAGCCGGACGGAGCAACGCCGCGUGAGUGAUGAAGGUCUUCGGAUCGUAAAACUCUGUUAUUAGGGAAGCGGUACCUAAUCAGAAAGCCACGGCUAACUACGUGCCAGCAGCCGCGGUAAUAC
This 405-nucleotide ribosomal RNA is filed under the name uncultured bacterium. RNAcentral's name for it is "partial 16S ribosomal RNA". It matches the Rfam family "Bacterial small subunit ribosomal RNA", at positions 28 to 526 of the family's 1533-position model. The record is from RNAcentral.